This 10039-nucleotide long non-coding RNA is filed under the name Solanum tuberosum (potato). RNAcentral describes it as "long non-coding RNA (STUB_LNC003247)". Lineage: Eukaryota; Viridiplantae; Streptophyta; Magnoliopsida; Solanales; Solanaceae. The record is from RNAcentral.
GGAGGAUGAUGGAUUCUUGAGUUUGACUCAAGAUGCAGAUGAUACAACCAUAGAUGAAGAAGAUGAAAAUGAAGCAGCUUCAUGGUUGUUGUUGAAUCCUCCUGUUAAGAAUAACAAUAAGAACAACAUUAACAAUAACAACAACAAUCAAAAUAACAACUAUGGGAUGUUGUUUGGUGGGGAAGUAGUGGAUGAAUACUUGGAUCUUGCAGAGUAUGGAGGGGAUAGUCAAUUUAACGAUCAGUACAGUGUUAAUCAGCAGCAACAACAUUACUCUGUUCCUCAGAAGAGCUAUGUUGAAGAUAGUGUUGUGCCAGUUCAGAACGGACAGCGAAAAUCUCUGAUUCUUUACCACCAACCGCAACAACAACAACAGCAACAACAACAAAGUCACCACCUGAAUUUUCAGCUUGGAAUGGAGUAUGACAAUUCUAACACUGGAUAUGGUUACCCUGCUUCUUUGAGUCACAGUGUAAGUUUUCUUCACUUUAUCGAUAUACCUCACUUUGUGAGUUGUCUUACGAAGCUACUACUCUGUGCAACAUCAGUUCUUUUAACACUUCUUUUUAGCUUCUGAAUUACUUUUUCCAGCACUUCGUCCUUUUUCAACAGAGGAUUUGUCAUUUUAGGUUCCCAUUUGCUAUUAUGGUUACCUUUACAUACCCCUAAACUGACCCUUGAACUUUUGUCGUAUUAAAUUUUACCUAAGAUUAUGCUCUUUCCCAAAUAAACAAAGAUGUUUAGAUUCUUCUUCACCUUCCUUGACAUUGAAAUAACGUGUAAUUAGUAACUCUUAACAAUUAUCCUUUAUAUUCAAGUUAUAAAUAGUAAUUCACUAUAAUGUUUAAACUGCUCCAAUUCACGUAUGUUACUGUUUAACCGUGUUCUCGAGAUUCUUUGAUAAAACUUAUCCUCAAGGGUGGAAAUUCUAAGAAUCUUUACCUUUUCAGCUUCUCCAUUGGGUUUCUUUUGACACUUGAUUUAACACAAGGUUACCAUGUUUAUGUUAAUAAUCAGCGACAUGCUACACAGAUGUUGCUGUUGCUUUAUGUGCAGAUCCUUAGGAUAAAUCUUGUAGUCUAGCUAGUCUGUUUUCUUGAAUGGACCAUGGAAUUUUUAUGGAUCUAACUUAUAUAUACUAAUAUUAUAAAAGUAAUUACACUUGAAUGUAUUUUAACAUGUUUUUUCACGUAGCUAAUUUCACUUUCUAUGGACAGUCAACUAUAAUUAUCUUUUUAAGUGAUACAUGAAUAGGGAAGUUGACCACUCAUGUUUUUGUUGUCUUUAUGUAUCAUCAGGUUUCCAUUUCGUCGAUGGAUGUCAGUGUUGUUCCAGAAUCUGCACUAAGUGAAACUUCAAACUCCCAUCCACGACCUCCAAAAGGGACCAUCGAUCUGUUCUCAGGCCCUCCAAUUCAGAUACCUCCCCAGCUUACUCCAAUGGACAGAGAAGCCAGAGUCCUAAGGUACAGAGAGAAGAAGAAGAACCGUAAAUUUGAGAAAACCAUAAGGUAUGCUUCAAGAAAAGCCUAUGCAGAAACAAGGCCAAGAAUCAAAGGCCGAUUUGCAAAGAGAACGGACGUAAAGGCUGAAGUAGACCAGAUGUUCUCCACACAAUUAAUGACAGACAGCAGUUAUGGAAUUGUCCCUUCAUUCUGAAUGCAACAAAGAGAAGAUCAACUGCAAGCCCCUAAACCUAGAAUUAAUAUUGUAUCUCUUACGUCAUUAUCGAUCUAAGGCUAUUGGAUAAUGAGAAAUGUACUACAGCAGUUUUCCACAGAGGAUUUGUUAAAUUCUCUGCUUUGUUGUAUAUGUAAAAAGAGUUCUUCCUUGUAGACCACGCUGCAGUCAAUACGUACAAUUUUUCUCAGGAAGAAGUAAAGAAACAGAUCCUCCAGUGUGAAGGGAUUGACCCAACAAGACAAAAAGUACUAGUUCCGCGAGAAGCAAAGAGUUGACUGCAGUAACAAGGAGUGUGGUGGGAUGGAUGAGACAUCAACAACCUUAACCAGAAGUCUCAGGUUAAUGGAAAAACUUUUAGUAAGAAAUGCUUACCUCCUUAGUGGACCUACCUGACACAUAGAUAGAUACUGGAUGCCUAAAGGGAAAAAGAAAAAAGAAAAGAAGAAUUGACUGCAUAUAACUUUUCCACAUUAAAAGAACUCAGUGCAGCCACAAGUAAUGGGAAAAGCAAAAUUACCGACGACCUCUCGAUGCUCAGUGGCUGUAUAUGACAUUGUGUGCUGGUGCAAUAUAAUUGAAGCUGAGUUCUGCUGUCUGCUGUCUGCUUUCUGCUUUCCCUUGUGGUCAUCUUUUUGUUGGAACAUACUCUUUUUGGAUGACAUAUAAUGUUCAUCAAUACCUGCUUUUGGUCCAGGGCCUCUUCCCAGAUUCUCCUUCAAUACAAUGAAUAUCCCAUCACUGAAGAUAAAGAAUAAAAGGUCCACUUCUCCAAGGAUAGGAAAGCACAAUAUUUUUGCCGAAAAUGGUACUGCAUAAGCGUAAGCAAAAUACUGCUAUGAUCAUCAAACUUUUAGUUGUAAUGACAGAAUCAAGGUACACGAUAUCCCUAAAAUAGCUAACAUACAGCUUCUAAUUUGUAAUCAGCAAGGAUAUAGGUAAUUUGCUCAAGAAAAAGAAGCACUUUAGUGGGUGGUGAAAGGAAAACUAAAGGCGAUAGAAGCAAGGGGACUGGGGAACGACAUCUGUUAAGCUAAUGAAAAAUCUCUAAGACCAAUCAUCUGUAUUUACCCUUGCUCAAGUCAAUCAACUACUAAAGUGUUCCUCCUAUCUUGGAAUCUAAAGAGUUCUCACUUCUACAGUUCUAUGUAUCAUCUAUUUCAUUAACUGUUUAUAUAUUAUCAACUAAAAGCACUUGGCAGUAAGAAAAUUACUUGACUCAACAAACUGGUGUUGUCAAAAGCAAAAGGUAAGAAGAGCAACCAGGGUAUGGUCGGGUUUUAAGUGCAAAGUGCGAUUAAAAAGCACACGUUAAUGAAGGAGACGAAGAUGAAGAAGUAAAUGUAAAAAUAAACACAAACAAGCAUUUAUAUGGACCAAGGAAUUGAGAAUAAAAUUGCAAACAUAAUAAAAACAUGUCAAUAAAGUUCAAUCUCAUUGCCCCCAAGGCCUAGCUCAAGUGGCAAAAGGUGGAGGAUUUGUGGCUUAAGUCGCAGGUUCAAGCCCCACACCAUGCAAAGUGAAGCCCGGUAUUUAAGUGGAGAAGGGUAGAGGGGCGGGCCCAUUAUCCACUGAGUUUAGAAGGCUGUGAUUGGUCCAAAGGGCGGGUCACAGACGGAUUUCUCGGUUAUCAAAAAAAAAAAAAAAAAAAAAGUUCAAUCUCAUUUUUUUAUUCCGUUGCAAAGAUGCAAAUUUAAGUUUCUAAUUCAAUUUUAUUGACUAAUUUGCUUUGAUAAAGUAUUCUAUUGACCUAUUUUGAAUCACUAACAUUUUUCCUUAAUGUUUUCUUAACAAGUGAUGUAUCACUUCGCUUUGUAAUUAUUUUUUAGCUUGCCCACUUCAAAAUCAUUAUAAAUUACUUAAACUUAUUAAGAAGCAAUAAGUUGGCUGUCUUUCUAAGGCACAGACCUCACAGUGCCUAAGCAACGCAGAACACCAAGUUUGCGAUGCAUCUAGCUUCAAGGUUUAUGCAUUCCUCAUGCGCACUUCUAACAAAUUGCCUCAUAAUCCAACUUCAAAAGGAAAGAGGUGUGCUUAGAAUAGAAUCUUCUCCAUCUACAUCAAGCAUACAUGACUUAUUAGGCUCAGUUAUUUCUGAACUACUCUACUUACUACCAAAACAGUUUACCACUAAGAAGGAGGUAUUCCAUGGCCUCAAAAGUAUCAGUAAUCAAAAGACAAUGUCCUUUUAUCAGUCUUAAGCUGAAGGAAAGCAUAUUGCACUUUAGCCUUUUUUUUAUGUGAAGUAGUCACUGAAAAAGUAACAAGGCAAGUUCCAGCUUAUCUAGGAAUAAGGUGAAAGUGUAAGGAGGUAAGAACUUUGUGGCUAAGAAAUUUCAUCCAAGAAUGGCUUGGACGUUCACUUUUAGGUCUUUUUUGAUCAUUGGGUACUUUUAGUAUCCAAUUCUGCACUGCUAUUCGUUGAACAGAAGAACCUUUAUCCACCUCACAACUCACUAGCAUAGAAAAAGAAUACCCAUUAAUGUGUCACGACCAAUAUUAUUUUGCUCAGUUAUUUCUGCACUACUCUAUUUACUACCAAAACAGUUUACCACUAAGAACUACUAUCAAUAAAGAUAGUUGCUGCUCUCUUCAUACUUGUUUGCAGGUUAAGUUGCUCAUCUAUCUUUAGCAAUGCAUGUGAUCCAAUUCAUUGGAUUUCAAGUCACAGUAAACUGUGAAGCAUACUACUAGGAGGUAUUCAUGGCCUCAAGCCCUCAACAGAAAUUAGUAAUCAAAAUAUGCAACUGAUUGAACAAGACGCAUAAGGAAAGCAUAUUAAACCUUUGUGAAGUAGUCAUUGAAAAAGUAACAAGGCAAGUUUCAGCUUAUCGAGGAAUAAGAUGAAAGUGUAAGGAAGUAGGAACUUUGUGGCUAAGAAAUUUCAUACUAAAAUGGCUUGGACAUUCACUUUUAGGUCCUUUUUGAUCAUUGGGUACUUUUAGUAUCCAAUUCUGCACUGCUAUUCGUUGAAGAGAAGAACCUUUAACCACCUUACAACUCACUAGCAAAGAGAAAGAAUACUCAUCAAUGUGUCACGGCCAAUAUUAUUCCCACCCAGAAUAAACGGGCAAACAACUCAGAUUGUUUGAGUUAUUCCUGAGCCGUUCAAGUUGGAUCAGGUCCCUCUGAUUCCAUGGGUACUUUAGCUAUCUAUUUAUGCCAUGCCAUUUGCUGAACACCAGCACUUUUUCCGCAGCUCAUAAGAGCCAAGCAAUCCAUCAUGGAGCAAUUCUAGUGAUUCCAAUGCAAUAAAAUUAUUAAAACAACAAAACAACCUUUAAUGAUUUUUCUAAUUCAAUGUGAAAAUAUCAAACUGCAUUGCUGGUUGACUCCACAACAAAAUCCAGAUAUAGUAAUCUUAUUUCUUGUCUGUGAAUAACUAAUUUCGUGCAAAUUUGCUGCUCGAGAUUAUAUCGUACACACACACACAAGGUGGUGUCCAAAAUGCUCAACUCAGUGGCGAAGCCAGGAUUUUCAUAAAUCCUUAAGAGGGUUAAAAAAUAUGACGAAAUAAAUACACAAGGAAGUCAAGAGAAUUCAACAUCCACUAUAUAUACUUAAAAAUAAUUUUAACCGUGUACAUACAAAGUAAUUUUCCAAUGAAAGGGAUUCGAACCCCCUUGCCCUUUCCUGGCUCGACUCCUCGCUACCUCCCACCAGCACGGUUUUCAAAUUAUUCAGCACACCAAGAUUUAGGCAAAUCGGAAAAAUCUGUGUAAUGUCGUCUCUGCUGGAAUUUGAACCUUGGUUUCCAAGGUUUUUAUCCCAACUCCUCAACGUCAAGGAAGAGAACAAAACCAUAUUACCUAAAGAUAAUUUUAUUGGUCGUUUUACAUAUUAUGUGAAGGUGUGAACCAAGGAAACCCACACAUAAGGCUUCCUCAUUUUAGAUUGUAUCAGUUGAGGGUCAAAGUUUGCACCUGGAGGAUAAUCCUAACAAAUAUUCUAUAGAUAUGGUUUAAAAGAGAAUGUAGCACUUUACUUUAUUCUUUUUUUUUAUGACAAGGGAAACCCGCAGCCUCUACCCUUUGGGUGAGCACAGGGUAAAACCCCCGCUCCUCUGCAAUAGCUCGCAAACCACAUAGGAGAGGUAACCCACACUAGGCAAGCCCGGUGCGACGAGCUCGACCCAGAAGGCAAACCCCUUGCUUUUGCUGGCAAGGGGUUUCGAACUUGAGACCUCCAACAUGGAAGUCCCAAGCCCAAACCACUGGGCCAUCCCUAAGGGUUCACUUUACUUUAUUCUUUUGUGGAUCAAGAAUCUUAAGAAAAAGUGAAAAGAGCAUAUUCCAUCUCACAAGAACAUUGAAGUUAUCCUGGACCUGUUGUGUUCCACAGAAGUAACCAGAGAAAGGCUAAAAUUUCAAGUUUGAGAUCCCUCCUAUUCCAUGGGUACUUUAUGUAUCUAUUUCUGCUCUGCCAUUUGCUGAGUCACAGCACUUUUUCUACAGCUCAUAAAUGUCAAGCAAUCCACUUGUGAUUCCUAUGCUUAGAAAAUUACUAGUUUUUGGAGGUAGAGUCCUGAGAAAAAGUGAAAAGAGUAGGUUCCACUUAAGUCACCUGAGCAUAGCUAAGCCUUUUAAGCUUUGAGGUCCCUAAGAUUACAAGGGAACUUUAGCUAUCUAUUUCUGCUCUGCCAUUUGCUGAGCCGCAGGUCUUUUUUCCCACAACUCAUAAAUGCUAAGCAAUCCACCAUGGAGCAAUUCUUGUGAUAGCUAUGCUUAAAAAAUUAUUAAACAAAACAAAACAAUUUCCAGUGAUUUUCUAAUUAAUGCGAAAAUAUCGAACUUCAUUUCUGGUUGAUUACACAACAAUGUCCAGAUACAACAAUCUUAUUAUUGUGAGUGAACAACUAAUUUCGAGCAAGUUCGCUGGUCGAGAUUGUGCCUUACAGAAACACAUAGUGAGGCCAGGCUAUGCAGCUUGAUUAAGUCACAAGGUACCUACUACCUCCAACCGGCUCUACAAGUAUCGAAUAAUUAUGUCCACCAAAAUUUAGGCAAAUGCGAAAAAUUCUAGUAGCGUCACCUCUGUUGGGAUUUGUACCUUGGUACCCAAGGCUAUUAUUCCAAGUCCUCAACUGCUAGGGGACACAGGCAAAUCAUAUUGACUAAAGAUAAUUUUACUAGCUGUUAUUUUUCAUAAUGUGCGAACGAAAGAAGCACACACACAGACGUAGGCAAGAUUUCAACAAAAAUGUUUCAUCUUAGAUUGUAUCAGUUGACUGUCAAAGAAUGCAUACAGAGGCUAAUCCAGGCUAAUAUUUUAAAGCAUAUAAUUAAAAGACAAUGUAGAGCUUCUUUCUUUUAACUUUUGUGGAUGAAGAGUCCUACCAUAAAGGUGAAAAGAGUAGAUUCUAUCUCAGUGAGAACAUUGAAGUUGUUCCACAGAAGUCAUUAGAGCCUGGCUAAGCCUUUCAAGUUUGAGGUCCCUCUUGAUCCAUGACACUUUAGUACCUAUUUCUUCUCUUCCAUUCGCUGAAAACCUGAAACUCUGCACUUUUUACAAAGCUCAUAAAUUUCUUAGUUUUUUGUGGGUGUGAGGCCCUUUCAAAUCCUUAGGACUUUUAUUUAUCUAUUUCCGCACUGUCAUUUGCCAAACAUCAUUACUUUUUUGAUCUGGUUGACAGCCACAACAAAGAUUCUUUCGUGCCAUAUCAUCAAAUUUUAUCCAGUAAUAGCAUUAAGAGGUAAAAUUGUCUAAGCAUUUCAAAUUUGUGUAUUUAGUGGGGAAAAAACUGAAAAAUGCGUUUGUCCUCUUUUUUAUAUACCAAGAUGCAUUUGUAUGUAGUGUAAUCCCUUUGUAUAUACCAAACAAAGAUUCUUUCAUGCCAUACCAAGAUGCUCUACCUUAGAGGCAAUUGUCCCUUUAUAGAUAUAAAAAAAUAAUGAGAACAAACCUAGUUUAAUCCCACAAGUGGGGUCUGGAGGGGGACAGAUGUAUGCAGAAAUACCUUUGUGGGAUAGAGAGAUUGUUUCUAACAGACCUCGGCUAAAAAAGUGAAGUUAUUCGGAAAAGGAUUGCAGGAAGAAAAAGAAAUGACAGCAAAAUAUCAAGCUACAUGCAAAAUAGAACAACAGAUAGCAAAAACAUUGACAAAAAAAAAACUGUGAUAACUAAAUUAAUACUAAUAAAUAGGGACAAGGGGAUAUGAGGUUAGCCCCCUGCCACUCCCAACUAAUGAGCGACCACAUUCAGCUACCUACUAACCUUCUACCCUAAUCCUCGAUUGCCAUACCCUCUUAUCUAGGGACAUGUCCUCAAUAAGCUGAAGUUGUGUCAUGUCUUGUCUUGUCUAAUCAACUCCCCCAUUUCGUUUUUGGUCACCACUACCUCUCCUAACUCCUGUUACAACCAACCUCCUAACUAGCGUAUCUGCACACCUCCUAACUAAUCCACAUUCAGCUACCUACUAACCUUCUACCCUAAUCCUCGAUCGCCAUGCCCUCUUAUCUAGGGACAUGUCCUCAAUAAGCUGAAGUUGUGUCAUGUCUUGUCUUGUCUAAUCAACUCCCCCCAUUUCGUUUUUGGUCACCACUACCUCUCCUAAAUCCUGUUACAACCAACCUCCUAACUAGCGUAUCUGCACACCUCCUCUUCACAUGCCCAUGCCCGAACCAUCUCAGUCUCACUUCUCUCAUCUUGUCCGUCAUGAAUGUCAUUCCCACCUUGCCCCAUAUAGCUUUGUUCCUGAUCAUGUUUCUCCCUUUAUAUAUACCAUUUCUAAAAAUAUGUGUACCUAUAUGAAGCUUGUAUUCUUUAUCAGAAAAAGACAUAUUUGGAAAAAGAAAUAAAUCCUUAAACCAUCACGUCUCAAAUUCAAACAGACUUAUAAGUUGAACCAUAACAAACCGUAACAAUAGAUGUUAGUAUCAUAUGUUCACCACAAUAAAGCAGAAUAUACGAAAUAAUCAGGAAAGAAAAAUUUAACGAAAAAUACAGAACUGUGAAUUAAUUAUCCGAGCCCACAGAAUUCGCUAUGUGUCCUUAAUAAGCCCUAGCCCCAUAUAAGAGAUCUAAAAAGGUCAUUUACUUCUUUUCAAUUUGUACGUGGUCAUAAGAGACCACUUCCUCUCUAUCAUUAGAUAAAAGAUACAUGUCAAUAUUCAGACACCAAAUCAGUUGCCCAACAUACAUUAUUUCAAAUUUGAAAAAAGAACUUUCAUCGUGUCUGUUGCAGCACCAAUUAUUUUCUUUUGAUGUGGUGCUGAGUUUCUUUUCCUAAUGUUAGUAGAGCAUCAAAGUCUCAAGUCUUUCAAAUGAGGUUUUCUAUGACAAAGUUCCUCUAUAUUUUCUCUAACUGCUAUUUUCUUCUCCUUCCUACACUACUAUUUUGAAAUCAUAGAAAGGGAAAACGUCAAUACUAUAGAUGCUUAUCAAAGUACUGAACUCUGAAGGGAUCUUCCAAACAGUAUAAAUUCAACAUGUGAAGUAAGCCUACGUAUGCCAAACUCAGCAAUUCUUACGAUGAAACAAAAAUAAUCUUGCUCUCCAAGAACAAGACUUCCUAAUUCUUCCACUCCACUACUAUAUAUGACCUUUAAAGCAUUCUUCCCGUUUAACCUGCUUAGGCAUAUGUUUUGAUCAUUUGGAUUCUAUUAUGAGAUUCAACGAGAAUCACAUCACGAGAGUAUUCUAAAAACCGAAAUUACAAAAUCAAUGUUUUCAAUACCAUACCAUUCAGGUCCGUACCAUGCCCACCCCUAACGGUGAAAAUCUAAUAAACUAUGGGAAGUGUAUCGGUAUAGUCCACCCCUUAAAGGCAAUCUCUUGAACAAAGCUCUCCCACCUCAAUUGAUUCCAAAAGCCCAAGGCCCCUGGACCCACUUGUUUCAACCUCCUUGUGGCUUGACCCCACCUUCCGGCCCCACCAGAAUCACCAGCCACCACAAGAUAAUGAAAAAACUUUUCCUACCCAUUAACUUCCCUCCACAUGUUUCCCUUGGAUUCUCUCCCCACUUGAUAGUUGCCUACUGUUAUUUUCCCUCCUUUCCCCCUUCAUAUUCCACAGUGCCCCAUAAGUCUGCAGCAUACCUGCUAAACUUCAGUAUUCGAAGUACAACAGAAAAUAGAGAGCAAGAAGAAAAAAUAGGCCAAAAAUAGUUCAAUGUUGAAAAAGGAGAACAGUGGGGGUUUUGAUGGCAGCAGCAAUUACUGGGCAAGAGUGUGUGACAGUUGCCGUUUAGUUACCUGUACCAUUUACUGCCAGGCGGAUUCUGCCUAUUUGUGUGCAGGCUGUGACGCCCGCAUACAUGCAGCAAGUCUGGUGGCUUCUCGUCACAAGCGUGUGUGGGUUUGUGAGGCCUGCGAGUGUGCCCCUGCAGCCUUUCUUUGCAAGGCGGAUGCUGCCUCACUUU